RNAcentral lists this ribosomal RNA (440 nucleotides) under uncultured bacterium. RNAcentral's name for it is "partial 16S ribosomal RNA". It matches the Rfam family "Bacterial small subunit ribosomal RNA", at positions 338 to 795 of the family's 1533-position model. The record is from RNAcentral.
CCUACGGGAGGCAGCAGUAGGGAAUAUUGCUCAAUGGGGGAAACCCUGAAGCAGCACCGCCGCGUGGGGGAUGAAGGUUUUAGGAUUGUAAACUCCUUUUGUUGGAGAGGAUUAUGACGGUAUCUAACGAAUAAGACCCGGCUAACUCCGGGCCAGCAGCCCCGGUAAUACGGAGGGGGCAAGCGUUCCUGGGAAUCACUGGGAGUAAAGAGUCCGUAGGCGGGGUAAUAAGUCAGAUGUGAAAUCCUGUGGCUUAACUACAGAACUGCAUUUGAAACUGGUACUCUGGAGUGUGGGAGAGGUAGGUGGAAUUCUUGGUGUAGGGGUAAAAUCCGUAGAGAUCAAGAGGAAUACUCAUUGCGAAGGCGACCUGCUGGAACAUUACUGACGCUGAUGCACGAAAGCGUGGGGAGCAAACAGGAUUAGAUACCCUAGUAGUC